Eurytemora carolleeae is the source of this 160-nucleotide long non-coding RNA. RefSeq lists it as uncharacterized. The record is from RefSeq and is a predicted model, not a curated record. The transcript is spliced from 2 exons. Lineage: Eukaryota; Metazoa; Arthropoda; Copepoda; Calanoida; Temoridae.
AGACAAAAAUGUAUAUUUUAACCAUUUGUGGGAUUGGUUUGAUAUAUUUAGUUUCCAAGGUAUUUUUCUCUACUCCGGAGAAAAUAGGUGUUUACAUGCAGCCGGGAUUUCUUAGUCCACUUAAACAAUUGAUCAUGUACUUGUUAAUCAAAUUCAGGUA